RNA transcript from Callorhinus ursinus (northern fur seal), 3639 nucleotides. It is a transcript of the gene named potassium voltage-gated channel subfamily C member 3, with no coding region annotated. The record is from RefSeq and is a predicted model, not a curated record. Lineage: Eukaryota; Metazoa; Chordata; Mammalia; Carnivora; Otariidae.
AUGCUGAGCUCAGUCUGCGUCUCGUCCUUCCGCGGGCGCCAGGGGGCCAGCAAGCAGCAGCCGGCGCCACCGCCGCAGCCGCCCGAGUCCCCGCCGCCGCUGCCCCCGCCGCCGUCACCGCCGCCGCUGCAGCAGCAGCAGUCUGCGCAGCCCGGCCCCGCCGCGUCCUCGGCGGGCCCCCCGGCACCUCGCGGGCCCGGGGGCCGGCGCGCCGAGCCAUGCCCCGGGCUGCCGGCGGCGGCCAUGGGGCGGCACGGCGGCGGCGGUGGCGACAGCGGCAAGAUCGUGAUCAACGUGGGCGGCGUGCGCCAUGAGACGUACCGCUCGACGCUGCGCACCCUGCCGGGGACGCGGCUGGCCGGCCUGACGGAGCCCGAGGCGGCGGCGCGCUUCGACUACGAUCCCGGCGCUGACGAGUUCUUCUUUGACCGGCACCCGGGAGUCUUCGCCUACGUGCUCAACUACUACCGCACAGGCAAGCUGCACUGUCCGGCCGACGUGUGCGGGCCGCUUUUCGAGGAGGAGCUCGGCUUCUGGGGCAUCGACGAGACCGACGUGGAGGCCUGCUGCUGGAUGACCUACCGGCAGCACCGCGACGCCGAAGAGGCGCUCGACUCCUUCGAGGCUCCGGACCCAGCGGGCGCAGCCAACGCCGCCAACGCCGCCGGCGCCCACGACGCGGGCCUGGACGACGAGGCGGGUGCGGGCGGCGGCGGCUUGGACGGCGCGGGCGGCGAGCUCAAGCGCCUCUGCUUCCAGGACGCGGGCGGCGGCGCCGGGGGGCCGCCAGGGGGCGCGGGCGGCGCAGGCGGCACGUGGUGGCGCCGCUGGCAGCCCCGUGUGUGGGCGCUCUUCGAGGACCCCUACUCGUCGCGGGCCGCCAGGUAUGUGGCCUUCGCCUCCCUCUUCUUCAUCCUCAUCUCCAUAACCACCUUCUGCUUGGAGACCCACGAAGGCUUCAUCCAUAUCAGCAACAAGACGGUGACACAGGCCUCCCCGAUCCCCGGGGCUCCACCAGAGAACAUCACCAAUGUGGAGGUGGAGACGGAGCCCUUCCUGACCUAUGUGGAGGGCGUGUGUGUGGUCUGGUUCACCUUCGAGUUCCUCAUGCGCAUCACCUUCUGCCCGGACAAGGUGGAAUUUCUCAAGAGCAGCCUCAACAUCAUCGACUGUGUGGCCAUCUUGCCCUUCUAUCUCGAGGUGGGACUCUCAGGCCUCAGCUCCAAGGCUGCUAAAGACGUGCUGGGCUUCCUGCGGGUUGUCCGCUUUGUCCGAAUCCUUCGCAUCUUCAAGCUCACGCGCCAUUUUGUGGGGCUGCGCGUGCUGGGCCACACACUCCGUGCCAGCACCAACGAGUUCCUGCUGCUCAUCAUCUUCCUGGCGCUGGGCGUGCUCAUCUUCGCUACCAUGAUCUACUACGCGGAGCGCAUUGGCGCUGACCCCGAUGACAUCCUGGGCUCCAACCACACCUACUUCAAGAACAUCCCCAUCGGCUUCUGGUGGGCCGUGGUCACCAUGACGACCCUGGGCUACGGAGACAUGUACCCCAAGACGUGGUCGGGGAUGCUGGUCGGGGCACUGUGUGCCCUGGCGGGGGUGCUCACCAUCGCCAUGCCCGUGCCCGUCAUUGUCAACAACUUUGGCAUGUACUAUUCGCUGGCCAUGGCCAAGCAGAAGCUGCCCAAGAAGAAGAACAAACACAUCCCCCGCCCCCCGCAGCCCGGCUCUCCAAACUACUGCAAGCCCGACCCUCCCCCGCCACCCCCGCACCACCCCCACCACGGCAGCGGUGGCAUCAGCCCCCCGCCCCCCAUCACCCCACCUUCCGUGGGGGUGACUGUGGCUGGGGCCUACCCACCGGGCCCCCACACGCACCCCGGGCUGCUCAGGGGGGGAGCGGGUGGGCUCGGGAUCAUGGGGCUGCCUCCUCUGCCAGCCCCUGGGGAGCCUUGCCCAUUGGCUCAGGAGGAAGUCAUUGAGAUCAACCGGGCAGAUCCACGCCCCAAUGGGGACCCUGCUGCAGCUGCGCUCGCCCACGAGGACUGCCCAGCCAUCGACCAGCCCGCCAUGUCCCCAGAAGACAAGAGCCCCAUCACCCCCGGGAGCCGAGGACGCUAUAGCCGGGACCGAGCCUGCUUCCUCCUCACCGACUAUGCCCCUUCCCCUGAUGGCUCCAUCCGGAAAGCCAUUGGUGCUCCCCCACUGCCCCCCCCAGACUGGCGUAAGCCAGGUCCCCCAAGCUUCUUGCCCGACCUCAACGCCAACGCUGCAGCCUGGAUAUCCCCCUAGCGGACGAAUCCCCUUCCCCCGGGCUCUUGUCACCGCCUGAGACCUCGCGAGACCCUCGGUCCCCCCCUGCCCCUUCCCCCCAGGUUACGAGAAAUCCCGCAGCCUGAGCAGCAUCGCGGGCCUGAGCGGGGUGUCCCUGCGCCUGGCGCCCCUUGCCACUCCCCCUGGCUCUCCCAGGGCCGCCCGCCGCGCUCCCCCAACCCUGCCCUCCAUCCUCUAGCGCUCCCCUCCCCCCCGUGGGGGGACUCGGGGGUGACAGGGAAGAAGGUCAAAGGAGCUGGGGGUGGGGGGUGGGGGAAAGGGUUUUUUUUUUUAAAUCAAAAAGUCAUUAAUAAUAUGCAACCGAGACGACGACGCCAGCAGACACCCCCGGACCCCUCACCCCCACCUGGGCCCCCAGGAUGGAGGGGGAGGAGCCAAAGUCCAGCCCCCCCAACUCUCCACUCCCCCACCCCCAAAUAAAGCCUUCUCAGGUCUCCAUGAGCCAUAGGAAUUCCCGCUCCCAUAAACUCCUGUAAAUAAGUCCAAAUUAUGCCAAUUACAUUUUGGGGCGCCUCUCCCCUACUCUGCAUGCCUCCCUCAACCUGGACCCCGCCCCCAAGUCCACCUCAGCAAUAAGCCGCCAGGGGCUGCAUGCCACGCGAUUGAGGGAAGGGGCAUUCUGGGAAGGGGGCGGGGACGUCAAGGGAGUCGGGCUGGCUUUUAAGCCACGCGAGGGUAUCCUAGCCUCCUACCCUUCACCCCAGGAGGGCAACCCAUCACAUUGAUGUAAAAAAUAUAUAUAUAUUAGCAACAAUGCGGGGUAAGGAGGAACAGUCAACUCAAGCCCCAAAAACGAGCUGAGCUCAGAUGGUAGAAGCAGAGGCACAGGGCGUGUGCUGUGGACAGCUGCUCCCUCAGCCUUUAGGAGGAUCCCUCUGGUGGAUGUGACCCUUUCAUCCCUCCCCGGACCACCCCCCCCAAGGGAUCUGCUCGCCUCUAUUCUUGCUGCAUGGACUCAGACCUCCCAUCUCAGAAUUUCUGGGAUGAUCUGGCCCUAGCACACAAAAUUCCCCAACACCCCCUCCAGAUUACCAGGACAUGAGGCCUGCACCCAGAAUUCCUGAGACCAACCCUGGCACCCCGCAUCCCCUAAAUCGCCACAGGGUCCUGGGACUUAACCUCUGCAUACAGAUGCUGCCCCCAAGCCCCGCCCCACCCAUUGCCUGGACUGCAUCCCAGCACCUCAAAUCUCCAAGACUUAACCCAGCCCUUCAGCUCACUUUCAGCCUUUGGGAUGCUCCAGAUCCUUCCCACACUUGGACAUUUCUUGGACACCACCAAAUCCUCAGGCCUACCCCCCUCCAAAUA